GAUGAACGCUGGCGGCGUGCCUAAUACAUGCAAGUAGAACGCUGAAGCUUGGUGCUUGCACCGAGCGGAUGAGUUGCGAACGGGUGAGUAACGCGUAGGUAACCUGCCUGGUAGCGGGGGAUAACUAUUGGAAACGAUAGCUAAUACCGCAUAACAGUAGAUAUUGCAUGAUAUCUGCUUGAAAGGUGCAAAUGCAUCACUACCAGAUGGACCUGCGUUGUAUUAGCUAGUUGGUGAGGUAACGGCUCACCAAGGCGACGAUACAUAGCCGACCUGAGAGGGUGAUCGGCCACACUGGGACUGAGACACGGCCCAGACUCCUACGGGAGGCAGCAGUAGGGAAUCUUCGGCAAUGGGGGGAACCCUGACCGAGCAACGCCGCGUGAGUGAAGAAGGGUUUCGGAUCGUAAAGCUCGGUUGUAAGAGAAGAACGAGUGUGAGAGUGGAAAGUUCACACUGUGACGGUAUCUUACCAGAAAGGGACGGCUAACUACGUG
RNAcentral lists this ribosomal RNA (497 nucleotides) under uncultured bacterium. RNAcentral's name for it is "partial 16S ribosomal RNA". It matches the Rfam family "Bacterial small subunit ribosomal RNA", at positions 28 to 507 of the family's 1533-position model. The record is from RNAcentral.